Molecule: transfer RNA, 72 nt
Filed under: Synechococcus elongatus PCC 7942 = FACHB-805
Lineage: Bacteria; Bacillati; Cyanobacteriota; Cyanophyceae; Synechococcales; Synechococcaceae
Also listed under: 16 other names
Description: tRNA-Val (GAC) (tRNA-Val-GAC-1-1)
Rfam family: tRNA
About the family: Transfer RNA (tRNA) molecules are approximately 80 nucleotides in length. Their secondary structure includes four short double-helical elements and three loops (D, anti-codon, and T loops).
Source: Rfam by way of RNAcentral
GGGCGAUUAACUCAGGGGUAGAGUACCACCAUGACAAGGUGGGAGCCACUGGUUCAAAUCCAGUAUCGCCCA